Molecule: small RNA, 26 nt
Filed under: Bombyx mori (domestic silkworm)
Lineage: Eukaryota; Metazoa; Arthropoda; Insecta; Lepidoptera; Bombycidae
Description: ovarian small RNA-12049
Source: RNAcentral
AGCAUCGCAAUACAAAUAGGUGGCCA